Non-coding RNA from Capsicum annuum, 106 nucleotides. NCBI's taxonomy places the organism in Eukaryota, Viridiplantae, Streptophyta, Magnoliopsida, Solanales, Solanaceae. The record is from Rfam.
AUAUGUUGAUGUGGGCAAUCUCUGAGAAGGGAAUUAAAUAUCUCCCAUGCAUGAUAGAAUUUUUGUAUGGCUUUUGCUUGAAACUUAAGAUCUCACUCCUCAACCU